RNAcentral lists this ribosomal RNA (505 nucleotides) under uncultured bacterium. RNAcentral's name for it is "partial 16S ribosomal RNA". It matches the Rfam family "Bacterial small subunit ribosomal RNA", at positions 28 to 507 of the family's 1533-position model. The record is from RNAcentral.
GACGAACGCUGGCGGCGUGCCUAAUACAUGCAAGUAGAACGCACAGUUUAUACCGUAGCUUGCUACACCAUAGACUGUGAGUUGCGAACGUGUGAGUAACGCGUAGGUAACCUGCCUGGUAGCGGGGGAUAACUAUUGGAAACGAUAGCUAAUACCGCAUAAUAUUAAUUAUUGCAUGAUAAUUAAUUGAAAGGUGCAAUUGCACCACUACCAGAUGGUCCUGCGUUGUAUUAGCUAGUAGGUGAGGUAACGGCUCACCUAGGCGACGAUACAUAGCCGACCUGAGAGGGUGAUCGGCCACACUGGGACUGAGACACGGCCCAGACUCCUACGGGAGGCAGCAGUAGGGAAUCUUCGGCAAUGGACGAAAGUCUGACCGAGCAACGCCGCGGGAGGGAAGAAGGGUUUCGGAUCGUAAAGCUCUGUUGUAAGAGAAGAACGGGUGUGAGAGUGGAAAGUUCACACUGUGACGGUAUCUUACCAGAAAGGGACGGCUAACUACGUG